Molecule: small RNA, 23 nt
Filed under: Arabidopsis thaliana (thale cress)
Lineage: Eukaryota; Viridiplantae; Streptophyta; Magnoliopsida; Brassicales; Brassicaceae
Description: ATSL005340
Source: RNAcentral
UACUUACUCUGAGCUAGAUCCCC